This 294-nucleotide ribosomal RNA is filed under the name uncultured bacterium. RNAcentral's name for it is "partial 16S ribosomal RNA". It matches the Rfam family "Bacterial small subunit ribosomal RNA", at positions 30 to 326 of the family's 1533-position model. The record is from RNAcentral.
AUUGAACGCUGGCGGAAUGCUUUACACAUGCAAGUCGAACGGUAGAGGGGGCAACCCCCUUGAGAGUGGCGAACGGGUGAGUAAUAUAUCGGAACGUGCCCAGUCGUGGGGAUAACGUAGCGAAAGUUACGCUAAUACGCAUACGAUCUAAGGAUGAAAGCGGGGGGACUCGCAAGAGCCUCGCGCGAUUGGAGCGGCCGAUAUCAGAUUAGGUAGUUGGUGGGGUAAAGGCUCACCAAGCCGACGAUCUGCAGCUGGUCUGAGAGGACGGCCAGCCACACUGGAACUGAGACA